AUGAAGAGGAACGGUGCCAUUCUGGACCUUUUUCGAAAACAUGAAGAGAAAGCGAGGAAGAUUGCUACUGAACAUCACACUGAAGUUAUUGAAAAUGUGCGGUGUCCUAAUUCCCCACCUCCAAUCCAUUCCGAUACGGACAUGGAUACAGAUACUGAGAUCGAUGUUGAAAUUGAAGAUGCAACGCCAAGUCUUCCAUCACCCCAACAGCCAAGUGCACAUGUCUUUUCAGGUGAUCCAGGGAAAAGAACUCCUAUUUUAGAGUAUGCUUUUAAUGAUCAAGAUAGUGUUCGAAGAAGAUACAUUGCAAAAACUGCAUGCCGACCAUAUGCACAUGCUUUUCAAGUCAGGAAAAUCUAUGGUAAAAAUCGACACUUUAGUUUUGUUUGGUUUGAAAAGUACAGUUGGCUAGAAUAUAGUGUCUCAAAGGAAGCAGCAUAUUGCUUUGUGUGCUAUUUGUUCAAAGGGAAAACUAAUGGGGGGCCUAGGGGUGAUGCCUUUGUUAAAACUGGUUGGAGAAAUUGGAACAAACCUGAUGCACUGGACAAACAUAUGGGCGGUAUUGGUAGCAUUCACAACCAAGCUCAAGAGAAGUACAAUUUAUUUGUGACGCCUCAAACGUCAGUUUGUAAUACCAUGGUGAGGGUGUCUAAACAUGAUCUGCGUCUUUACAAGGCUAGGCUAACUUAUUCACUAAGAUGCUUGAGGUUUCUUUUGAACCAAGGAUUGGCAUUUCGUGGACAUGAUGAGAGUGAAGAAUCUAGCAAUAGGGGGAACUUUCUUGAACUUCUAAAAUGGCUUGCAGAAAAUGAUGAAGAAGUUGAUAAGAUUGUUUUGCACAAUGCUCCUGGAAACUGCAUCUUGACUAGUCCAAUGAUACAAAAACAAAUUAUUGAAUGUUGUGCUGUGCUAACUACAAAACAAAUUAUUGAAGAUCUUGGUGAUGAGCACUAUGCAAUCCUAGCUGAUGAGUCUAGUGAUGCAUCUCAUAAAGAGCAACUUGCUAUUUGCAUACGUUAUGUUGAUAAAGUUGGAAAGGGGUGUGAGAGGUUUCUUGGAGUUGUUCAUGUUGCCAACACAACUUCCUUGUCACUUAAAGCUGCAAUUGAAUCUUUGCUUACCGAUCAUCAUUUGACUCUUACUCAAAUCCGUGGGCAAGGAUAUGACGGGGCUAGCAACAUGAAAGGAGAGAUUAAAGGGUUGAAAACAUUGAUCAUGAAAGACUCGCCCUCUGCUUAUUACAUUCAUUGCUUUGCACAUCAACUUCAAUUGGUUCUUAUUGCCGUGGCAAAGGGAAAUGAACCAUGUAAAUGGUUUUUUGAUCAUGUUUCUUACUUGCUGAAUAUUGUUGGAGUUUCUUGCAAGCGUCAUGACAUGCUUCGAGAUGUUAGAGCUCAAAAGGUUCUGGAAGCACUUGAAAUGGGUGAAAUUGAAAGUGGAAGUGGGUUAAAUCAAGAGAUGGGAUUAGCUAGACCCGGUGAUACUCGGUGGGGUUCUCAUUUUCGAACCAUUCUGCACAUUAUUACCAUGUACCCCACAAUACUAGAAGUACUUGAUACUAUUGGAAAAGAUCCUUCACAAAGUGGUGAGUGGACAAGAAUACGUGCAGUGGCUUUUGCCUUGGAGUCAUAUGACUUUGUUUUCAAUCUUCACGUGAUGCUUGUUAUUCUUGGCCACACUAAUGAGUUGUCUCAGUCAUUGCAAAAGAGAGAUCAAGAUAUUGUUAAUGCAAUGGCACUUGUUAGUUUGGCAAAGAAUAAAAUGCGACAUAUGAGGUCUCAUGGCUGGGAAGAAUUUCUUGCAAAGGUGACAUUGUUUUGCAACAAACAUGGCAUUGAAGUUCCUACACCAGAGGAUAAUUAUGUGCCUCAUGGAAGAUCACCUCGGUAUUAUCAAGUGCAAACAAAUGAUGAUCGUUAUAGAAGAGAAGUAUAUCUUGGUAUCCUUGAUCAAAUCAUUCAAGAGCUUGACAAUAGGUUUGAUGAGGUUAAUAUGGAGUUGCUUAUUUGCAUGUCUGCUUUGAACCCCGCCAAUUCAUUUGCUUCUUAUGAUGCACUCAAGGUAAUGAAACUUGCUGAAUUCUACCCCCAGGACAUAUCAAGCAUGGAUUUGGUAAGGCUUGAAUUCCAACUUGAUACUUUUAUUGAUGAUAUGAGACAAGAUGAUAGGUUCAGAUCUGCGCGUAAUAUUGGUGAACUCUCUGUUAUGCUUGUCGGUACAAACAAACAUGUUCUCUAUGAUUUGGUCUACAUGCUUAUCAAAUUGGUAUUGAUCUUACCGGUGGCCACAACGAGUGUUGAAAGAGUAUUUUCGGCGAUGAAUCUAGUGAAAAAUAAGUUGAGAAAUAGUAUGAGUGAUGAUCUCAUGAACAACUGUUUAGUAACAUUCAUUGAGCGAGACGUGUUCUUGAAAGUAAGCGAGGAAGACAUAGUUGAAGAUUUCAUGGCAAUGGAACGUCGUAGAGUUACUUAG
Molecule: ribosomal RNA, 2472 nt
Filed under: Triticum aestivum (bread wheat)
Lineage: Eukaryota; Viridiplantae; Streptophyta; Magnoliopsida; Poales; Poaceae
Description: partial small subunit ribosomal RNA
Source: RNAcentral